RNAcentral lists this ribosomal RNA (508 nucleotides) under uncultured bacterium. RNAcentral describes it as "partial 16S ribosomal RNA". It matches the Rfam family "Bacterial small subunit ribosomal RNA", at positions 28 to 507 of the family's 1533-position model. The record is from RNAcentral.
GACGAACGCUGGCGGCGUGCCUAAUACAUGCAAGUCGAACGCUGCUUUCCUCCCGAGUGCUUGCACUCAAUUGGAAAGAGGAGUGGCGGACGGGUGAGUAACACGUGGGUAACCUACCCAUCAGAGGGGGAUAACACUUGGAAACAGGUGCUAAUACCGCAUAACAGUUUAUGCCGCAUGGCAUAAGAGUGAAAGGCGCUUUCGGGUGUCGCUGAUGGAUGGACCCGCGGUGCAUUAGCUAGUUGGUGAGGUAACGGCUCACCAAGGCCACGAUGCAUAGCCGACCUGAGAGGGUGAUCGGCCACACUGGGACUGAGACACGGCCCAGACUCCUACGGGAGGCAGCAGUAGGGAAUCUUCGGCAAUGGACGAAAGUCUGACCGAGCAACGCCGCGUGAGUGAAGAAGGUUUUCGGAUCGUAAAACUCUGUUGUUAGAGAAGAACAAGGACGUUAGUAACUGAACGUCCCCUGACGGUAUCUAACCAGAAAGACACGGCUAACUACGUG